AUUGAACGCUGGCGGCAGGCCUAACACAUGCAAGUCGAGCGGUAGCACAGGGAGCUUGCUCCUGGGUGACGAGCGGCGGACGGGUGAGUAAUGUCUGGGAAACUGCCUGAUGGAGGGGGAUAACUACUGGAAACGGUAGCUAAUACCGCAUAACGUCGCAAGACCAAAGAGGGGGACCUUCGGGCCUCUUGCCAUCAGAUGUGCCCAGAUGGGAUUAGCUAGUAGGUGGGGUAACGGCUCACCUAGGCGACGAUCCCUAGCUUGUCUGGGAGGAUUGCCAUGCACAAUGGAACUGAGGCACGGUCCAGACUCCAACGGGAGGCAGCAGUGGGGAAUAUUGCACAAUGGGCGCAAGCCUGAUGCAGCCAUGCCGCGUGUAUGAAGAAGGCCUUCGGGUUGUAAAGUACUUUCAGCGGGGAGGAAGGCGAUAAGGUUAAUAACCUUGUCGAUUGACGUUAACCGCAGAAGAAGCACCGGCUAACUCCGUGCCAGCCGCCGCGGUAA
This 504-nucleotide ribosomal RNA is filed under the name uncultured bacterium. RNAcentral describes it as "partial 16S ribosomal RNA". It matches the Rfam family "Bacterial small subunit ribosomal RNA", at positions 30 to 523 of the family's 1533-position model. The record is from RNAcentral.